RNAcentral lists this ribosomal RNA (253 nucleotides) under uncultured bacterium. Its description in RNAcentral is "partial 16S ribosomal RNA". It matches the Rfam family "Bacterial small subunit ribosomal RNA", at positions 524 to 776 of the family's 1533-position model. The record is from RNAcentral.
UACGGAGGGUGCAAGCGUUAUCCGGAUUCACUGGGCGUAAAGGGUGCGUAGGCGGCUCGGUAAGUCUGGUGUGAAAUCUCGGAGCUUAACUCCGAAACUGCAUUCGAUACUGCCGUGCUUGAGGACUGGAGAGGAGACUGGAAUUUACGGUGUAGCGGUGAAAUGCGUAGAUAUCGUAAGGAAGACCAGUGGCGAAGGCGGGUCUCUGGACAGUUACUGACGCUGAGGCACGAAGGCCAGGGGAGCAAACGGG